UAUUAAAAAUUUCAUCUAUUUGUACUAUUAAAAACUAGUGUGGUUGAUAAAAUAACCAAACAGUGACAUCUGACGUGUGACAUAUACCUCAUGUUGACAUACAUGAACUUAUUUUUAACACCAGAAAUAGAUUAAUUUUUUAACA
Molecule: non-coding RNA, 145 nt
Organism: Gossypium hirsutum (cotton)
Lineage: Eukaryota; Viridiplantae; Streptophyta; Magnoliopsida; Malvales; Malvaceae
Source: Rfam